Molecule: long non-coding RNA, 1461 nt
Filed under: Betta splendens (Siamese fighting fish)
Lineage: Eukaryota; Metazoa; Chordata; Actinopteri; Anabantiformes; Osphronemidae
Description: lncRNA (ENSBSLG00000017588.1)
Source: RNAcentral
AUGGAGAAGAAAGAUAGAAAGAAGGAAAAGAAAGAAGAGGCAAAAGAGAUGAAGAACAGGGAGAUGAAAGAAGAAAAGGAAAAGAAGAACAGACGAAAGCAAGAAGAAAAAGAAAGACUUGAGAAAGUAAAAGAAGAAGAACAAGAAAAGAGAAGAGAAAAGCAAAGAAAGAAGAGCGAAAAGGAAGAUGAAAGAAAUAAGAAAGAAAAAGAGGAAGAAAAGCAGGGGAUGACACACGAACAACCAAUCGUACCAAUCCUCAAUACUAAAACCUUACUGAUUUCCCCCACCACCCCUACUCCCCCCUUCUCCCCCGCCGUCUUUCGAACCCUCCUCAUCAUUAAAAAACAACAGGAAAAUGAGAGAGAGAGAAAGAAGAAAGAAGAAGAAGAGGGAAGGGAACAAAGGAAAAAGGAAGAAAAAGAUCGAAUGGAAAGACAGAAAACACUGACAGUUAAACACAUGGAGAGGAUGUCAAAGAAACUAAACCUACACACCCUCAUCCCUAAACCCAGCAACACUUCCACCUUCCGAACCCCCCCUACUUCUUCCUACCACAUCCUCCCUUCUCCUCCCUUCUCCAAACCCCUUAUUCAUACCCUUCCUAACAUCAAGGAAGAGGAGGAAGAGGAAAUCAAGGAGAAGACAAUGAUUAAGCAAAUGGAAAGGAUGUCAAGGAAACAAUCCUUUUUACCCACCAUCAUUCCAAAACCCACAUCCAUUGCCAGCUUCCCCACCCCCCCUACUUCUUUCUACCCCAUCCUCCCAACUCCUCCCUUCUCCAAACCCCUUAUUCAUACCCUUCCUAACAUCAAGGAAGAGGAAAUCAGGAAGAAGACAAUGAUCAAGCAAAUGGAAAAGAUGUCAAGGAAACAAUCCUUUUUACCCACCAUCAUUCCAAAACCCACAUCCAUUGCCAGCUUCCCCAACCCCCCUACUUCUUCCUACCCCAUCCUCCCUACUCCUCCCUUCUCCAAACCCAUCAUUCAUACCGUCCCUAACAUUAAGAAAAAGAAGGAGGAAAUGAAAAAGAAGGCAAUAAUGACCCAAGUAGAAAAGGUGUCAAGGAAACAAUCCUUCUUCCCCUCCAUCACUUCAAAACCCACCCCCAAUCCCACCUUCUCCCUCCCCUCUACUUCUCCCUUAUCCCUUGGCUCUACUCCUCCCGUCUCCAAACCUCUUGUUUAUAGCCUCCCCACCCCUCCCAGUCACACCCUCUCUCGCAAGAAUCGCAGGUUCCACAAUCACCUCCACCCACAACCGCCACUCCCCCCCCCACUAGCCGGAUCCUCAUAUGUGCCAAUUCUUCCCUUCCCCAUCACCUCCACUCCCACUUUCCCUCCAAUCCCUACCUCCACCUUCCCCAUCAGUUCACCUUGCCCAUCACCUUCACUCCCACUUUUCCUUCCACCCCUACUCCCACCUUCCCAAUCAGUCCCUGCCAGGGGGGACUGGGGCUGA